Molecule: non-coding RNA, 54 nt
Organism: Salmo salar (Atlantic salmon)
Lineage: Eukaryota; Metazoa; Chordata; Actinopteri; Salmoniformes; Salmonidae
Source: Rfam
UGGAUUUACUAUUGUAAGUCGCUCUGGAUAAGAGUGUCUGCUAAAUUACUAAAA